CAGUGGGUGGACUGCACUCUGCUGAGCUUUGGAGUCCCUCGUGUGAGGAUGUGAGCCCCGGUUUUAGCUGUGCACAAUAAAUCAGCACCAAAAUGCACCAACUGUAAGAAAAGUUAGAAAUACUUCACUGCAAUCAACUGAUUUCUCUCUCCCCCAUCCUGGUGUAAAUCAGGAGUAACCCCACUGGACUCAAGGGGCUGAUUCUCCCAUCACUCAUCUCAGGGCUUGUCGGACUCACUCCCUGGAGCCCUCAACAGCCCAGAGGCAACAAUUAAUUUCUCUUGCCAUCUACUUCCCUGAAGAGUUUCCAGAAACUAAAAUAAUCACAAUUAAAACAAGGCAGCAGGAUCUAGAGGAAAGAUUUGGCCAGUACCACCUGAUUCAGAGGAAAGUCUAAGAGGCCCUAUAGAGGACAGUUCUCGAAUAACCUGCCCAUUGUGGAGUCUCAUCAUCAUCAGUUUGUGAAUGAUCUAUGGCAUGAGGAAGAUUCCAUCACUGACAACUUUCAAAUCAAGAUUGGAUGUUUUUCUAAAGGAUCUGCUCUAGAUAUUAUUUUGGGGAUGUUCUGUGGGUUGGGUUAUACAGGAGGUCAGACUAGACAGUCACUAUGGUCCCUUCUGGCCUUGGAAUCUGUUAAUCUAAUUUCAUCUCCACCAAAAAUAGGGGAAAAAAUUCUCAAAAAACCUCACAAAAUGGUAGGUUUUUAAAAAAGAUUCUAAAUUUCUAUGAAUUAAAAAAAAUAAAAUUUUCUUUAAAUAAUGAUGUAGAAUGAUUCUGAUCCUCUCCCCUGUUUUUGACCAGAAGUAUUAAAAUUAAUUCCAGGAGAUUUUAGCUGAAUUAGGCAACAUCUCAGAGUAACACAACUCCACUUCUCUCUUGGUGAUGUAGGCUAUUUUGUGUUCAUGGAGGGUCAACAUGACCACUGAUGGGAUUUUCAAGGUUGCCUAUAGAUAUUUGGCCACCAAAAUUCCAAUUAGUUUUAAGGGGAAUUUGAUAUCCUAGCCCCCUAGGUGAACAUCUCCACCCAUAGUUUUACGAUCAAAACCUGCAACUCUUUUCUGGUGGGAUUUUUAAAGCCAUUAUUCAAUAUUUUUAUUAACAACUUGGAUAACGAAGGAUAGCAUAUGCUUAUAAAACUUGCAGAUGAAACCAAGCUGGGAGGGGUUGCAAACACUUUGGAGGACAGGAUGAGAAUUCAAAAUGACCUUGAACAAAUUGGAGAAUUAUUCUAAAAUCAACAAGAGGAAAUUCAAUAAAGACAAGUGCAAAGUUCUUCUCUUACCAAGGAAAAAUCAAAUGUAUAACUAAAAAAUGGGGAAUCACUGUCUAAGUGGUGGCAUUGCUGAAAAGUAUCUCAGAACUAGAGUGGAUCACAAACUGAAUAUGAGUCAACAAUGUGAUGUAGUUGCGAAAAUAUCAUUUGGGUUUAUUAAAAAGCAUGCCGUAUAUAAGACACGGGAGGUAAUUGUCCCGCUCUACUUGGCACUUGUGAGGCCUCAGCUGGAGUACUGUGUCCGGUCCUGGGUGCCACAGUUUAAGAAAGAUGGGGACAGAUUAGAGAGAGUUCAGAGGAGACCAACAAAAAUGAUCAAAGGUUUAGCAAACCUGACCUAUGAGGAACAGUUUAAAAAAAACGGCAUGCAGAGGAAUGGGGUUUGAUCUGGAAAAGAGGACCAGCAAUCUCAGUCUGUAGUACAAUACAAGGAAAUUUAUUUAAAAUACUGUUUGAAUGGUACCUCACACAGCCAGGUUAAAUAUAUAUAUACAGAUUAAAUGGGGAUAAAUGUUAGAGAAAUUGUGGUGAAAGAGGAGAUUUGAUGCAUUGGACAUGUCUAGUCAUUAGAGAGUAUUGGAAGCAAUCUGUAACAAAAUGACCCAAUUGUUGGAUAUUUAUUAUCUAAUAACCUUCUGGUGAUCCUCCUGGGGCUUCCUGAUGGAAAUGGUCACACAAAAGGAAAUGAAAAAUUAACCUCUGAUCUGCUCAGCUAUUAGUAACCUCUCAAUGGGAAAAGAAAAAUAGUCCAACCAUUGAGGAAUGGUUCAAAACAAUAUGGCAGGUUGAUUAUGGAAAAUUAACACAACAAUUACAUAUUCAUCAAAAUAGACAGAGGACAGAUAGGUACUUAAAUAAUUGUUUACCUCUUAUUAUAUUAUUAUGCUCAAAGUAUAUUCACCCGCAAAAAAAAAAAAAAAAUACCCAGCACACCUGUCCAAUUCUUUGCAUAUGAACAUUUGAUAGACAUACCUGAUCUGUUAAAUAUGUGAAUACAGAGAUUUCACUCAAUUUAAUAAAAUCACCAGAAAUGACAUAGGAGUUGUAAUGAUCCUCACUCUGUACUAUGGUAUCACCCUGUUAAAUAGAAAGAUCUGGUGAUUAUAUUCCCGUAUGAUGUCUCUUUAAACCAAAGUUCACUGUUGUAAUGAUUGUUUUGUUUCUGAUAUUUGCAUGGUAAGGAUUUGUAAACUUGUUAAAACUUCCUAAAUAAACAGUAAAAAAAC
Long non-coding RNA from Chrysemys picta bellii (western painted turtle), 2499 nucleotides. RefSeq lists it as uncharacterized. Lineage: Eukaryota; Metazoa; Chordata; Testudines; Emydidae. The record is from RefSeq and is a predicted model, not a curated record.